UACAGAGGUCUCAAGCGUUGUUCGGAUUCAUUGGGCGUAAGGGGUGCGUAGGCGGCGCGGUAAGUCGGGUGUGAAAUUUCGGAGCUCAACUCCGAAACUGCAUUCGAUACUGCCGUGCUUGAGGACUGGAGAGGAGACUGGAAUUUACGGUGUAGCAGUGAAAUGCGUAGAGAUCGUAAGGAAGACCAGUGGCGAAGGCGGGUCUCUGGACAGUUCCUGACGCUGAGGCACGAAGGCCAGGGGAGCAAACGGG
This 253-nucleotide ribosomal RNA is filed under the name uncultured bacterium. RNAcentral's name for it is "partial 16S ribosomal RNA". It matches the Rfam family "Bacterial small subunit ribosomal RNA", at positions 524 to 776 of the family's 1533-position model. The record is from RNAcentral.